AACGGAUCUCUUGGCUCUCGCAUCGAUGAAGAACGCAGCGAAAUGCGAUAAGUAAUGUGAAUUGCAGAAUUCAGUGAAUCAUCGAAUCUUUGAACGCACCUUGCGCCCCUUGGUAUUCCGAGGGGCAUGCCUGUUUGAGUGUCAUGUUAAUCUC
This 154-nucleotide ribosomal RNA is filed under the name Phellinus igniarius. RNAcentral describes it as "5.8S ribosomal RNA". It matches the Rfam family "5.8S ribosomal RNA". From Rfam's summary of the family: 5.8S ribosomal RNA (5.8S rRNA) is a component of the large subunit of the eukaryotic ribosome. Lineage: Eukaryota; Fungi; Basidiomycota; Agaricomycetes; Hymenochaetales; Hymenochaetaceae. The record is from RNAcentral. RNAcentral also lists the same sequence under 1 other name.